GCCCCCGUAGCUCAAUGGAUAGAGCGCUUCGCUUCGGACGAAGAGGUUCUGGGUUCGAAUCCUGGCGGGGGCA
RNAcentral lists this transfer RNA (73 nucleotides) under Minisyncoccota bacterium. RNAcentral describes it as "tRNA-Arg". It matches the Rfam family "tRNA". From Rfam's summary of the family: Transfer RNA (tRNA) molecules are approximately 80 nucleotides in length. The record is from RNAcentral. Lineage: Bacteria; Bacillati; Minisyncoccota.